Oreochromis aureus is the source of this 448-nucleotide long non-coding RNA. The record is from Ensembl. NCBI's taxonomy places the organism in Eukaryota, Metazoa, Chordata, Actinopteri, Cichliformes, Cichlidae.
AACAGUUUCAAGACAAUGGCAGGAAAAACAUGCUGAAGAUUGAAACAAACCUUGGCUGGAAAUAUUUGAAGGUAUCUAGCCAGUCCACAAUGAAAGCUUCGUUGCACCCCAUGAGUCUUCUGGCAGAAAUGAUGGCGCCUGUAUUCUUUGGUUUCCCUAAACAUCACACCCUGCCUGUUUAUACGAGGCUCUUCAAUUAAGUCUGCACCCAAAGAUUCAAUAAGAGAGGGGAUCCUGCCAGUCCAAAGUGAACUCCUGAUGGACACUGAAGUACUCCUGCAGAGCUUGUAUCUUCGACACCAUGCGCAUUAGAAACUCCACUGAGUCCUUUCCUUCACCAAGGCAGGACCCAGUGACUCAUUACUGUUGAUAGGUCAGGGGCAGGUAAUAUUUUGUUUCAUGUUUAUUCAUUCCUCCAUGGAUUACCAGCCAUAUAUAUGGACACAUG